This is a non-coding RNA of Paragonimus skrjabini miyazakii, 78 nucleotides long. The record is from the annotation of a GenBank genome assembly. Lineage: Eukaryota; Metazoa; Platyhelminthes; Trematoda; Plagiorchiida; Troglotrematidae.
GGCUUUGUAGCUCAGCUGUUAGAGCAGUUGCCACGUCUAGGCAUGUUUCUGUCGUUGGUUCGAAUCCAGCCGAAGUCC